RNAcentral lists this unclassified non-coding RNA (2060 nucleotides) under Helicoverpa zea (corn earworm). RNAcentral describes it as "uncharacterized LOC124643715, transcript variant X4". The record is from RNAcentral. Lineage: Eukaryota; Metazoa; Arthropoda; Insecta; Lepidoptera; Noctuidae.
AUAUAUGUGGGAAUGAAUGUCGAGUGGAAUGGAACGUGACAGAAUAUGAGGGAGGCGUGAGCGAGUGAGCGAAGGAGUGAGAGAGAGGGACUGAAUGAACGGUGUUAGAGGCAACCACGCGGUACUGAGUGUAACGAACGAGCCAAAGUUGUUGAAAUAAAAGUUGUAAUAAGUGUUUAAAACGGGAUUUUAUUUCAAAGUCAUCGAUCCCCGGCACGAAGAGAGCUACAGAUUUUGGGGGCUCGUCCGGGAUCGAUCAACGACGAAUUUCCACGAAGUUUUCUACGACGCACCGGCCGGCGCGACGCGGCGGCCAUUAAAUUUGAAUUACGAAGUUACGGAGCACGAUGGAAUCGAAAUCAACGACGAUUACGACUGCAGCGGCGCCGGUGGCGUUCGGGCUCACAGAGGGGCUCAUCGAGAAGUUCAGCGGAGACGACAAAUCUUACUCGUCGAGUAAGUGGGCUCAAGACAUCGAGGAUAACGCUGAGAUAUUUCAGUGGACGCCGCAACAAACUUUGAUCGUAGCUCGCCGGUCACUCACCGGGACGGCUGAGCUAUGGUUAAAAUCCGAGAAGGCAUUCAAAACCUACGGCGAUCUCAAGGCUGCGCUUGUGAAGGAAUUUCCAGACACCGCGAACGUCAAGGAAAUGCACGAGCUAAUGGCGGCACGCAAGAAAUUAAAAGGCGAGACGUAUUAUCAGUACAUGUUGCAUAUGAAAGAGCUAGCGCGGCGUGCGAAAUUUCCCGACUACAUCGCGAUACAGUACAUCGUGGAUGGCAUCGACGAUUACGAGAGCAAUAAGGUGAUUCUGUACGGCGUGACCACGUUUCCAGCAUUGAAGGAAAAGCUGGCUUUCUAUGAGAAAAUGAAGUCCAAAACCAGGGAGCGAGAAAAGAGAACCGAGAGGUUAAAAGGUCAUGCGAGGUCGGCGGAGGCGUCCUCGGCAGCAUCGGGAUCGGCGAGGCGGUGCUAUAGCUGUGGUGACAUGGGACAUGAAGCGGGUGUGUGUAAAAACGGAUUGAAGUGUUUUGGGUGUAAUCAGUUCGGUCACAUUCGUAACCAGUGUCCCGUAAAUCCGAUGAGAUCUACGGCUACAGCAUCGGCAUCGGGUCAUUCAGGCGCCAAGAUGGCGGGCGCAGGCGGCAGCGGCGCUCACGGCGGCCGAGGAGGCGGGGCUUCCGGUUCCGGGGAGGCCGGAAAGUUGGGACCCAAGCGACCCGCGGCUAUGUUCGGAACGGUGAACGAAGUAAGCGGAAACGAGGCUGUCCGCGCGGUCAUAGACAAUGAAACGUCACUGACAUUGACAGAUGUCAACACUGUAAAUGUGACAGCUACGAGUUACGAAGAUCGAAACGUUAACAUCACGCAUGUAAACAAAUGUGUUCGGAAGCCGGUAAAAGACAUUAAAAUUAAUAAUACAGUUUUAAAUGCUCUCGUAGAUUCAGGUAGUGAUGUGAACCUAUUAUCUUUGUUGUAUUUACCUAUGUUGAACGCCGAAGUGGCGAGUGAAACGUUAACGAUGUCUGGAUUAGGCCGUAGUGAAAUACAAUCAAGGGGCAGCGUCUCUGUUGGACUUGAGAUUGAUAAUCAGUGUUUUAAUGGUGUAGUUUUUCAUUUAGUUCCACCAGAGGUGAUGCCCUACGACGUAAUAAUAGGUCAAGAGUUCCUGGGUCGUGUUACUGUGGAUGUGUAGCAGUCAAUGUUGAUCACAUUCAAGAUCCAGCAGUAAGGAGUGAGGUUAUGCAAUGUGUUGAGGAGUAUAAGCCAUUGUAUAAGGAAGAGGCCCCGAUCCAACUUCAAAUUGUAUUGAAGGAUGACAUCCCAGUGCGACAGCGACCCAGACGACUGUCACUUAUGGAGCAACAGGUAGUGGAAGAUCAAAUCGAGGAAUGGCUUGAUAAAGGCAUCGUGAGGCCUUGGAUGAAGUUCAGGCUGUAUCGAGGUUGAAGCAAGUGCUAGAAGUCGCAGCACAUUAUGGCUUGGAGAUUAAUUGGAAAAAGGCGAACCUACUGCAGCGUGAAGUUGAGUACUUGGGCCACAGGGUGAAGGAUGGAGA